UACAGAGGGGGCAAGCGUUAUUCGGAAUUAUUGGGCGUAAAGGGCGCGUAGGCGGCUUUUCAAGUGACGGGUGAAAGCCCUCGGCUUAACCGAGGAACUGCCUGUCAGACUGGAAGGCUUGAGACCGGGAGAGGUGAGUGGAAUUCCCAGUGUAGCGGUGAAAUGCGUAGAUAUUGGGAGGAACACCGGUGGCGAAGGCGGCUACCUGGACAGAAACUGACGCUGAGGCGCGAAAGCUAGGGGAGCAAACAGG
RNAcentral lists this ribosomal RNA (253 nucleotides) under uncultured bacterium. RNAcentral describes it as "partial 16S ribosomal RNA". It matches the Rfam family "Bacterial small subunit ribosomal RNA", at positions 524 to 776 of the family's 1533-position model. The record is from RNAcentral.